ACCUCCGAAGGAGGUUUGAGCCGAGCGUAGCGAGACAACGUUGCUUCAGCAACGGCCCGCAGGGCGCUGCUCGCAGAGCAGAGUAAUCCUCUCUCGCCGACCA
This 103-nucleotide small RNA is filed under the name Pantoea agglomerans. Its description in RNAcentral is "partial RtT sRNA". It matches the Rfam family "RtT RNA", at positions 28 to 130 of the family's 130-position model. From Rfam's summary of the family: This family represents a bacterial cis-regulatory element known as RtT RNA. The exact function of RtT is unknown although it is thought that it may be involved in changing the cellular response in relation to amino acid starvation. Lineage: Bacteria; Pseudomonadati; Pseudomonadota; Gammaproteobacteria; Enterobacterales; Erwiniaceae. The record is from RNAcentral.